RNAcentral lists this ribosomal RNA (468 nucleotides) under uncultured bacterium. RNAcentral's name for it is "partial 16S ribosomal RNA". It matches the Rfam family "Bacterial small subunit ribosomal RNA", at positions 28 to 507 of the family's 1533-position model. The record is from RNAcentral.
GACGAACGCUGGCGGCGUGCUUAACACAUGCAAGUCGAACGGAAAGGCCCUGCUUUUGUGGGGUGCUCGAGUGGCGAACGGGUGAGUAACACGUGAGUAACCUGCCCUUGACUUUGGGAUAACUUCAGGAAACUGGGGCUAAUACCGGAUAGGAGCUCCUGCUGCAUGGUGGGGGUUGGAAAGUUUCGGCGGUUGGGGAUGGACUCGCGGCUUAUCAGCUUGUUGGUGGGGUAGUGGCUUACCAAGGCUUUGACGGGUAGCCGGCCUGAGAGGGUGACCGGCGACAUUGGGACUGAGAUACGGCCCAGACUCCUACGGGAGGCAGCAGUGGGGAAUAUUGCACAAUGGGCGGAAGCCUGAUGCAGCAACGCCGCGUGCGGGACGACGGCCUUCGGGUUGUAAACCGCUUUCGCCUGUGACGAAGCGUGAGUGACGGUAAUGGGUAAAGAAGCACCGGCUAACUACGUG